UUUCAUCUAUUGCUGCUUAAGUUUACAACGCCUCUUUUCUUCUGAACUUGCUUAACUUCCAGCUUUUCUAAAACAUGCUCUUUUAUGCUCUUAAAUCAGCUUUCUUUCUUUGUUGUUUCAAACCUGCUAUCAUAUCUGUUGGUUUCUCACGAGUCUCUAAAAAGAGAACUCUGAUUCUGUUUCAAUGGUUUGUCCUCUCAUCUCUAUAUUUGAUUCAAGUUGAAUCCCUAGAAUUUGAGGGGUUUCUUUGGUAAGUUCAAUUUUGUAUUUGGACUAGGGUUCUACUUUGAAACCCCAAACUCUCAAACUCAUUCAGAGUCUAUAGAUUAGACCUAAACCUUUUUAUGACUAUUUCUAUGAUAAUAUGUUCUAACCAGCAUGACAAC
RNAcentral lists this long non-coding RNA (386 nucleotides) under Nicotiana benthamiana. RNAcentral describes it as "long non-coding RNA (NBEN_LNC005770)". The record is from RNAcentral. Lineage: Eukaryota; Viridiplantae; Streptophyta; Magnoliopsida; Solanales; Solanaceae.